Transfer RNA from Ovis aries (sheep), 72 nucleotides. It matches the Rfam family "tRNA". Rfam says of the family: Transfer RNA (tRNA) molecules are approximately 80 nucleotides in length. Their secondary structure includes four short double-helical elements and three loops (D, anti-codon, and T loops). Lineage: Eukaryota; Metazoa; Chordata; Mammalia; Artiodactyla; Bovidae. The record is from Rfam.
UCCUAGGUGGUCCAGCAGUUAGGACUCAGCGCUCUCACUGCUGGGGCCGGGGUUCAAUCCCUGGUCAGGGAA